UGGGGAAUAUUGCACAAUGGGCGCAAGCCUGAUGCAGCGACGCCGCGUGAGGGAUGACGGCCUUCGGGUUGUAAACCUCUUUCAGCAGGGAAGAAGCGAAAGUGACGGUACCUGCAGAAGAAGCGCCGGCUAACUACGUGCCAGCAGCCGCGGUAAUACGUAGGGCGCAAGCGUUGUCCGGAAUUAUUGGGCGUAAAGAGCUCGUAGGCGGUUUGUCGCGUCUGCUGUGAAAACGCGAGGCUCAACCUCGCGCCUGCAGUGGGUACGGGCAGACUAGAGUGCGGUAGGGGAGACUGGAAUUCCUGGUGUAGCGGUGGAAUGCGCAGAUAUCAGGAGGAACACCUGAGGCGAAGGCGGGUUGCUGAGCCGACACUGACGCUGAUGCGCGAAAGCCAGGGGAGCAAACG
RNAcentral lists this ribosomal RNA (407 nucleotides) under uncultured bacterium. RNAcentral's name for it is "bacterial SSU rRNA". It matches the Rfam family "Bacterial small subunit ribosomal RNA", at positions 355 to 774 of the family's 1533-position model. The record is from RNAcentral.